UUUUUGUUUUUUUUUUUUUUGUCUCUUGUCUUUUGUUGUUGUUGUUGCUAUUUCUUGGGCCGCUCCCGCGGCAUAUGGAGGUUCCCAGGCUAGGGGUUGAAUCGGAGCUGUAGCCACCGGCCUACGCCAGAGGCACAGCAACGCGGGAUCCGAGCCGCGGCUGCAACCUACACCACAGCUCACGGCAACGCCGGAUCGUUAACCCACUGAGCAAGGGCAGGGACCGAACCCGCAACCUCAUGGUUCCUAGUCGGAUUCGUUAACCACUGCGCCACGAUGGGAACUCCACCAGUGUUUUUAAGGGUAUACUGAAGCUAAAAAAUCAGAAUACCGGUUUAUUCACUUGCAACACUCAUCAGGACAACCAAACAAAAACCAAUAUACUGUAUAAUAAUCCUACUAUAUAUAUAUUAUAUUGCAUUAUAUAUUAAAAUAUUAUAAUCACAUUGUAUUAUUGUUAUUUCCACAUGAUUCUGAAGGUCUUUGGGUAAUGUGGCUUUUGUCCCCCCCAGAAAAAAUGCCCACAAAAUAUCUUUACUAUUUCAGCAAUCCAGGAACUGAAUAUGAACGCAUUGCUCAAAGAAUUUCCAUGUAAACCAUUAUAAAACAGAGGGUUCAUAAAGUCUGAAUGUUCGUAAAGUCUCUUUAUGUUUCAAAGCUUCAAUUUUCAGGGCUGAAGCUACCAAAAAAAAAAAAAAAUGAUGAAGCAUCAUGUUUUAUAACAGGUUAUUCUGGUCAAUGGCGUGUCAGCUAUAAAACAUAAACUUCUACCGAGGCAAGCUCAUUCAGUGGCUGUAAAGUAGCCCACUGGGCCCAAUUUCCAUGAAGAGGUGCCAACCCCAUUAGGUGUAUAUAAUCUACAAAUGAAUGCAAGCGCUUUUAGAGCUGGUAACUGCCUGACUCUGGCUGGUAUGGGGGUGGGGGGAGGUGUCUAGAAAGAGAGAGAAAGGAUUUUUCAUGACAUUGGAAAUUAAGAGAAGUUUGUAGAACAUUCAAGUUGAAUAACAAGCAUAAAGCUUUCAUGUAUCAUGAAGUAUCUAGAAAUCUGUACACUUGGAGCCUGCUCAUAAGCCAUAAAUGCAUUACACUUACUGAUUUAUAUUCUUUACUCAGUAUUGCAUGUUUUUGCAUCUAGAGGUUAAGAAGUACCACGCCCUACUCUGCUUUUGCUUGGAUAAAGUUGAAAAAUUCAGAUGGUACCAUGCUUCUUGGGGGGGGGGAUCUUCAAGAGGUGAUUUCAAUUGUUCCUCCUUAAUUAAUGAUUUUUGUUGGAAUUUUAGAUUUCUGGAUUCCCCUAAAUUCUCUCUUGCAAUAUUAGAGUAACUUCUAGCUACUCUGGUAACAUUAUCAGCCAGUGCACUUACAGAAAAUAUAGGUUGUCUUUUACAUAUUUUGACAGUCAAGACUCAGUAAAAGCCUGAGAGUAUUUUAUUGCAAAUGCUUCACAUUUAUAUAGUAGUCUACAGUUCAUAAAGUGUUUUCCAUCUCACUUAUGCCAGGGAUUGAACCUACGUCCUCACGGAUGCUGGUCAAAUUCGUUUCUGCUGAGCCACGAUGGGACCUCCCAUAAAAGGCAAUGUUUCUUGCAUGGGCUACAGUAUUGCUUUAAACAGAAGGGAAAGAUCAUUAAACAUGACUGCUAUUCACUAAAUGUUAAGCCCACUAGCAUCAAAGUCUGAGUCUGCAAAUACAAAUCAGAAUAACAGCUGAAACAGUUUCUUACUGUUGCAGGCUGCGCUUGCAUGGUUAAGGGGUGGAGGAAACACAGUAUGCUCUGUAACAUGGAAGCACAUCCACCUGAGAGUCUACCUGUGCCAAGUUUACACAGUCCUAGGCAGCAUCAGUAGCAUUUGUGAUCCUAUUCUGUCAGCUGCUGGGCUAACAGCAGAAACUUUGACUUGCAUGUGAAUAGCAAGUGGCCUAAGAAGGAGCAUUUCCAAGACCAGGGUUCCAGCUCCUUUACAAUACAAUGCUGGCAAGAAUAUUUCUGUGCAUAUGUUACGCGCACAUACAGAUUAAAAAUAAAGUUUGUAAUCUGCAAAUGGGCUCCAUGGAUUAAAUAACUGAUUGAUCAGGUAUUUGUAAAAGCAAACUUAAAAGUCCAUGAGGUAUGUCUCUGUGACGAUAAACUAUAAAAUGCUCAAAACUUUUUUGUUAGCAUGGCACUUUGCUGCGAUCUGUCGGAUUUUCCCUUUUAUUUGUGAAACACACACAGAAGAAAACUAUAAACUUCAGAGUUCUUUAACCUUUACAAGCCAACACAGCAAUUAUACUGCAAGCUAUGUGACACUCCGGGGUAAUAUGACAGAAGAAUUAUUCUCUUCCUCCACUUCCUUUAAAUGUUUCUCAAUUUCUCUGCAAUUUAAAGAUGGCCCGUGAAACAGAUUUUCUUAGCCAUGAAUCCCACUGAAGAUAAAUCGGUAGAUAAAAGAAAAUCUUUAUUCCAUUUCACAAGAAAAUUUGAGGCACCCCAAAGGAAAUGUUUCUCAAUACAUAAAGACAGUCUCAAAUUUGAAGAACAAGGCUAUCAUCAAAGGGAAGGCAAAGAAAAGUAAACAUAAGCUAACUUGA
This 2571-nucleotide long non-coding RNA is filed under the name Sus scrofa (pig). Its description in RNAcentral is "lncRNA (ENSSSCG00005011710.1, ENSSSCG00150006921.1)". The record is from RNAcentral. Lineage: Eukaryota; Metazoa; Chordata; Mammalia; Artiodactyla; Suidae.